CGCGUAGGUGGUUAGGUAAGUUGGAUGUGAAAGCCCUGGGCUCAACCUGGGAACUGCAUCCAAAACUGCUUGGCUAGAGUACGGUAGAGGGUAGUGGAAUUUCCUGUGUAGCGGUGAAAUGCGUAGAUAUAGGAAGGAACACCAGUGGCGAAGGCGACUACCUGGACUGAUACUGACACUGAGGUGCGAAAGCGUGGGGAGCAAACA
Molecule: ribosomal RNA, 207 nt
Filed under: uncultured Gammaproteobacteria bacterium
Lineage: Bacteria; Pseudomonadati; Pseudomonadota; Gammaproteobacteria
Description: uncultured gamma proteobacterium partial 16S ribosomal RNA
Rfam family: Bacterial small subunit ribosomal RNA
Source: RNAcentral